CCUACGGGAGGCAGCAGUGAGGAAUAUUGGUCAAUGGGCGCGAGCCUGAACCAGCCAAGUCGCGUGAGGGAUGAAGGUUCUAUGGAUCGUAAACCUCUUUUAUAAGGGAAUAAAGUGUGGGACGUGUCCUAUUUUGUAUGUACCUGAUGAAUCAGGAUCGGCUAACUCCGUGCCAGCAGCCGCGGUAAUACGGAGGAUCCGAGCGUUAUCCGGAUUUAUUGGGUUUAAAGGGUGCGUAGGCGGCCUUUUAAGUCAGCGGUGAAAGUCUGUGGCUCAACCAUAGAAUUGCCGUUGAAACUGGUGGGCUUGAGUAUGUGAGAGGCAGGCGGAAUGCGUGGUGUAGCGGUGAAAUGCUUAGAUAUCACGCAGAACCCCGAUUGCGAAGGCAGCCUGCCAGGCCAUAACUGACGCUGAUGCACGAAAGCGUGGGGAUCAAACAGGAUUAGAUACCCUUGUAGUC
RNAcentral lists this ribosomal RNA (460 nucleotides) under uncultured bacterium. Its description in RNAcentral is "partial 16S ribosomal RNA". It matches the Rfam family "Bacterial small subunit ribosomal RNA", at positions 338 to 795 of the family's 1533-position model. The record is from RNAcentral.